AAAGGGAGACCUAAUUCCAGUAGGAGACGAAAAAAAAGUAGUCCCUACCAAGAAUCAAUCCCAAAAGGUCGGAGCGAGGCAAAAUUGGCUUUCAAACUAGGUUCUGGGUUCACACAAGACCUGAAUCAGGAACAAGGGCUAUUAGCUCGGGUGGUUAGAGCGCACCCCUGAUAAGGGUGAGGUCCCUGGUUCGAGUCCAGGAUGGCCCACCUGCACAGGUGGAAGAAAGAAAAGAAGCUCCGAAUCAGCACCUUAUCUUACUUAUAUAGUAAGAGAGAAUGCUGGCUCUGAGUACAGAGUCCAGAGGAACCUUGAAAACUGCAUAGAGCUAGGUGGAAAAGCCAAAAAAGAAGACCGCAAG
RNAcentral lists this transfer RNA (361 nucleotides) under uncultured Microcystis sp. Its description in RNAcentral is "partial 16S-23S ribosomal RNA intergenic spacer". The stretch from base 136 to 209 matches the Rfam family "tRNA". Lineage: Bacteria; Bacillati; Cyanobacteriota; Cyanophyceae; Chroococcales; Microcystaceae. The record is from RNAcentral.